RNAcentral lists this ribosomal RNA (661 nucleotides) under uncultured Gemmatimonas sp. RNAcentral's name for it is "bacterial SSU rRNA". It matches the Rfam family "Bacterial small subunit ribosomal RNA", at positions 218 to 877 of the family's 1533-position model. The record is from RNAcentral. Lineage: Bacteria; Pseudomonadati; Gemmatimonadota; Gemmatimonadia; Gemmatimonadales; Gemmatimonadaceae.
CGAAUUCCAAGCUUCGCGGCCUAUCAGCUUGUUGGCGGGGUAACGGCCCACCAAGGCGACGACGGGUAGCUGGUCUGAGAGGAUGGCCAGCCACAUUGGGACUGAGAGACGGCCCAGACUCCUACGGGAGGCAGCAGUGGGGAAUCUUGCGCAAUGGUCUAACGACUGACGCAGCGACGCCGCGUGUGGGAGGACGCCUUUCGGGGUGUAAACCACUGUUGCCCGGGACGAACAGGUCUAUUCGUAGACCCUGACGGUACCGGGUGAGGAAGCACCGGCUAACUCCGUGCCAGCAGCCGCGGUAAUACGGAGGGUGCGAGCGUUGUCCGGAAUCAUUGGGCGUAAAGGGCGCGUAGGUGGCCCGGUCAGUCUUUGGUGAAAGCGCGGGGCUCAACCCUGCGUCGGCCAGGGAUACUGCCGCGGCUGGAGCACUGUAGAGGCAGGCGGAAUUCCGGGUGUAGCGGUGGAAUGCGUAGAGAUCCGGAAGAACACCGGUGGCGAAGGCGGCCUGCUGGGCAGUUGCUGACACUGAGGCGCGACAGCGUGGGGAGCAAACAGGAUUAGAUACCCUGGUAGUCCACGCCGUAAACGAUGGGCACUAGGCGCUUGGGGGAGCGACCCCCCGAGGGCCGGCGCUAACGCAUUAAGUGCCCCGCCUGGG